UCGACAUCCCCGCGCCCCGAUCCCCAAAUCCCUCAAACCCUAGCUCGCCGGAGAGCGCCGAUUCGUCGCGGCCGCCGUGUGAUGCGUCCGGAGCCUCCGUGCUGAGCGACCCUUCGGUUUGUUUUCGAUGGCCGCGCAGCCCCCGCCGGCGCCUCCCGCCGUUGAGGCUCGCUUCGCGGAUCUCUGCAAGGAGCUGGGAGUGGGCGAGGGCGUCGCCGGCGAGGCCGCGGCGCUGCUGGAUGAGGCGAAGGGCGCGCUCCUCGGGACGCCUUCUGUUGGAGGCAGAUUGGCUAAGGAUGCGGAGAGGCUGUGCUUCGCAUUCGUGCUGUACUGCGCGGUGAAGCUGAAGGGGCGGAAGGAGGGCUCUAGGAUAAGGCUGUGUGAGAUCUUGAAGGGCUGUAAGCUCAAGUAUGACGAUUUCUUCAAGGAAAUGCAGCAGAUUAGUCUGAAGAUUGAGAAGAUCUUAGAGAGUCGUUAUGGCCGGGACUGGGAGGGUCAUCUUGAGCUAAAGCAGUUGGAGAGUUUGGUAAAUCUGCUGGCCGAUGCAAGCAGGUUUUAUCGUAAGGCAUAUAAUGAACUGUUCUCAAGUUCAACUACUGAUCAGGAACCUGGUUCAGCAACAAACACUCCUGACUAUUUUCUUUUCGGGUGGAAUCUCUUCUUAAUGCUUCGCUCGAGAUCACAGGAAUUGUUUAAGGACCUAGUAUCCUGCAUCCAUGGAUUGGUUGCUGUAUUGGCCAUACUUUUGAUUCAUGUGCCUGCCAAAUUUAGGAGCUUUACAAUUGAAGGCUCUUCUCACUUAAUCAAACAAAGUGAGAAAGGUGCAGAUAUUAUUGCUUCAUUAUGUCAUAACUAUCAUACUUCUGAAGAACGCUUGAAAGAAAUGAUGGACAAAUCUCACAGGGCAAUAGAGGACUUCUUCGGUGUGAAAGCACUAAGUGCUUCAAAGUGCAAAACAGAAAAUUUGGAUAAAAUAGACACAGAUGGUCUGAUGUGUUUCAAUGGUCUCAUUGAUGAGGAGAGUUUCCAGCUAAAUUUGGAAAAAUUGGAGAAACUAUGUGAUUCCAAUAGCUGGGAAUGGGAGCUUGAUUUGAAAUUAUUUUUGUGCAAUGACUACAUUCCCUCUGCUGAGAAAUCAUCUGGGGGCUCCACUAAUUUAGGAUGUUCAAAGCGUGCCUUUGAAACAUUAGCAUCACCCACAAAGACAAUAAAAAACAUGUUGACUGUCCCUUGUUCGCCUCCAUCACCUGUCAAUGGUGGUUCAGUCAAGAUUGUGCAAAUGACACCAGUAACUUCUGCCAUGACAACAGCUAAGUGGCUUCGCGAGGUCAUAUCUUCAUUGCCAGAUAAACCUUCAUCUAAGCUUCAGCAGUUGCUGUCAUCAUGUGAUAGGGAUUUGACAAAUGAUGUGACAAAAAGGGUCAGCAUAGUUUUGGAAGCAAUUUUCCCGACAAAGUCUGCUGCAGAUCGGGGUGGUUCGAUAGGCCUCAAUUGUGCAAAUGCAUUUGAUGUCCCUUGGGCAGAAGCAAGAAAAAUGGAAGCCUCCAAGUUGUACUAUAGGGUAUUGGAGGCAAUCUGCAGAGCUGAGUCACAGAACAGUAGUGUAAAUAAUCUAACUCCAUUGCUGUCAAACGAGCGUUUUCACCGAUGUUUGAUUGCAUGUUCAGCUGAGCUAGUAUUGGCAACACAUAAGACAGUAAUCAUGAUGUUUCCUGCUGUUCUGGAGAGUACUGGUCUAACUGCAUUUGAUUUGAGCAAAAUAAUCGAGAACUUUGUGAGACAUGAAGAGACCCUUCCAAGAGAAUUGAAAAGACACUUAAAUUCUUUAGAAGAACAACUUUUGGAAAGCAUGGCCUGGGAGAAAGGUUCAUCAUUGUAUAACUCACUGAUUGUUGCCAGGCCAUCUCUUGCUUCAGAAAUAAACCGUCUUGGUCUUUUGGCUGAACCAAUGCCAUCUCUUGACGAGUUAGUGGAAAGGCAAAAUGUUCUUGUCGAGGGCUUACCAGCUACACCAUCUAAGAAACGUGCUGCUGCGCCAGAUGACAACACUGAUCCUCGAUCGCCAAAGAGACUGUGCAAUGAAUCCAGGAACACAGUAGUAGAGCGCAAUUUGCAGACGCCACCACCCAAGCAAAGCCACAUCGUAUCGGCUAACUUGAAAGCAAAAUGCCAUCCACUCCAGUCCACGUUUGCAAGUCCAACUGUAAGUAACCCUGUUGGUGGGAAUGACAAAUGUGCUGACAUAACGGUUCAGAUAUUCUUUUCUAAAAUUCUGAAGUUGGCUGCUAUUAGAAUAAGGAACUUGUGUGAAAGGAUCCAAUAUGUGGAACAGACAGAGCGUGUCUAUAAUGUGUUCAAGCAGAUCCUUGAUCAACAGGCAGCAUUGUUUUUUAAUCGACACAUUGAUCAAAUUAUUCUUUGCUGCCUUUAUGGUGUUGCAAAGGUUUGUCAAUUAGAACUGUCAUUCAGGGAGAUACUCAACAAUUACAAGAGCGAGCCACAAUGCAAACCAGAAGUUUUUCUGAGUAUCUAUGUUGGGACUAGGAAUCGCAAUGGGUCUUUCCUAUCAACAGAUACUAGGAUCACACCAUGUUGAUAUCAUUACUUUUUACAAUGAGGUGUUUGUUCCAGCAGCCAAGCCUUUCCUGGUGUCAUUAAUCGCUUCUGGUACUCGUCCAGAAGACAAGAAGAAUCCUAAUAGUCAAAUUUCUGGAUCACCCAAGCCAUCUCCUUUCCCAAAUUUACCGGACAUGUCCCCCAAGAAAGUUUCUUCUUCUCAUAAUGUUUAUGUGUCUCCUUUGCGGCAAACCAAGAAGGAUCUGCUGCUUUCACCAAGUUCCAGGAGUUUUUAUGCAUGCAUUGGUGAAGGCACCCAUGCUUAUCAGAGCCCAUCGAAAGAUUUAGCUGCUAUAAAUAGCCGCCUAAACUAUAAUGGCCGGAGAAUAAACACUCGAAUAAACUUCGACAUGGUGAGCGACUCAGUGUUAGCUGGUAGUCUGGGCCAGACAAAUGGUGGUUCUACCUCCUUGGAUCCUGCAGCUGCAUUUAGCCUCCCAUCAAAGAAGAGAAAACCAGAUACUUGAUCAAAUAAAAUGUCAACCUCUGUACAUAGCUCACAAUUCCACAGAAGGAUUUCUUCUGAAUAAGUGGGUUAAGUGGAGUGCUUUAACUGUACAUGUAUGUGUUAGUGAGUAGUAGCAGUUUACAUGCAGCAGACUUUCUGAUUAGCUUUGAGGUUGUAUCAUUGUUUGCCUGCUGAUUGAACGCAUUAGAUUGUAACAUCUGCAGUGUAGAAUGCUAAUGAAGCUUACAGUUUUCAGUGAAUUGACCCGCAUUUCAUGUACCAAAUCUCUAUCCUUGCUCUUGCAAGGUUUUGGUCAGGGGUAUAUUUGGUUCAGAUAUUACUGCA
Molecule: RNA transcript, 3409 nt
Organism: Panicum virgatum (switchgrass)
Lineage: Eukaryota; Viridiplantae; Streptophyta; Magnoliopsida; Poales; Poaceae
Gene name: retinoblastoma-related protein 1-like
Exons: 18
Source: RefSeq, a predicted model, not a curated record